GGACCUACGGGAGGCAGCAGUGGGGGAUAUUGCACAAUGGGGGGAACCCUGAUGCAGCGACGCCGCGUGGGUGAAGGAGUAUUUCGGUAUGUAAAGCCCUAUCGGCAGGGAAGAAAUUGGACGGUACCUGACUAAGAAGCCCCGGCUAACUACGUGCCAGCAGCCGCGGUAAUACGUAGGGGGCAAGCGUUAUCCGGAUUUACUGGGUGUAAAGGGAGCGUAGACGGGCCAGCAAGUCUGAUGUGAAAACCCGGGGCCCAACCCCGGGAGUGCAUUGGAAACUGCGGGCCUGGAGUGCCGG
This 301-nucleotide ribosomal RNA is filed under the name uncultured bacterium. Its description in RNAcentral is "bacterial SSU rRNA". It matches the Rfam family "Bacterial small subunit ribosomal RNA", at positions 333 to 652 of the family's 1533-position model. The record is from RNAcentral.